AGGAUUAUAGUUUAUUUAUAAAACAUUUGAUUUGCAUUCAAAAAAUAUUGAAUAUACACUCAAUUUAUCUUA
This 72-nucleotide transfer RNA is filed under the name Hulodes caranea. Its description in RNAcentral is "tRNA-Ala". It matches the Rfam family "tRNA". From Rfam's summary of the family: Transfer RNA (tRNA) molecules are approximately 80 nucleotides in length. Their secondary structure includes four short double-helical elements and three loops (D, anti-codon, and T loops). Lineage: Eukaryota; Metazoa; Arthropoda; Insecta; Lepidoptera; Erebidae. The record is from RNAcentral.